GCCGAGCGCGUCCCAGCUGCCUCCCCGCAGCCCCUCCUCUGCCCCCCAGCUCUGGAAGCGAGGAGGGAGCCUGGCAUCUGUCUAGACAGCGGGAGGAGGCGCUGGGUUUUGGGCCCGGGCACGCAGAGGAGGGCGGGGAGAGGCAGUUCCCAGCCCUUCCCUGCCCACCGGGUCCCCCCGGGUGCUUACCCACGGCCGUCUCCCCUGGGCCCUCUUUUUUCAGGGCUAGAACCUUUCUACAGUCGAGCAACUUGGGUUUUUUAUUUAAGACGAGGUUUUUUAGGAGACUUUUGUAGCUCUUUUCGUAUUUACACUUAUUGCUGAUGGUUUGUAAAUCUAUUUAUUUUUUAACCCGUGUUUUUUUCAUAUUUUGAGAGGUCUGUUUUUUAUAUCCCGCUGGAUUUGUCACAAUAAAGACUUGCACAGAGAAACGCCGGCGUCUCGGCCCCGCUCUCCCCCUGCCCCAAAUCCACAAAGUGCCCCCUGGGCGGGGGGAGACUCGAGGGGAGUGGGUGCUGGGGCAGGGGUGAGGCAGACCUGCCCCCUGUGAGCUGCAGGGGUGCGUUUUGGGGGGUGCAGAUGCUGCUGAGCUGGGCUGAUUGAGCCAAAUCCCCCCCAGCAACACGAGCACGGCCGCAGAGCCACAUCUGCCCCCACAGGCACGGGCCCUGCAGCUGGGCUCCCCCGGGUGCUUCUCACCUCGGAGAGGCGCUGGGUUCAUGUCCUGGCUCUCCCCUGGUGUCACCGAGGGGGGACAGGGGACCUGGGACAGGCCUGUGGUGGCAGCAGGUCGGUGUCCUCGUGUCUUGGGCACGUUGGUGCUGGCAGCGGGUCGGUGCCCUCACACCUUGCGGGGCACGUUGGUGAUGAUGGGUUUGGGGCGGGUUUUGAAGAGCAGCUUGGUCUUGAUGAGGGCGGUGACGGCGUAGCGGGCGUGCGGCUCCGCGGGGCCGGCCGCCUCCUUCACCAGCACGGCGAACGGCUUCUCCAGCGGCACCACCUUCCCGUACA
Molecule: long non-coding RNA, 1011 nt
Filed under: Anas platyrhynchos platyrhynchos (common mallard)
Lineage: Eukaryota; Metazoa; Chordata; Aves; Anseriformes; Anatidae
Description: lncRNA (ENSAPLG00000019359.1)
Source: RNAcentral